This 780-nucleotide ribosomal RNA is filed under the name bacterium. RNAcentral describes it as "bacterial SSU rRNA". It matches the Rfam family "Bacterial small subunit ribosomal RNA", at positions 63 to 853 of the family's 1533-position model. The record is from RNAcentral.
CGAACGAUGAAGGCCGUGCUUGCACGGCUGGAUUAGUGGCGAACGGGUGAGUAACACGUGAGUAACCUGCCCUUCACUCUGGGAUAACCUCGGGAAAUCGGGGCUAAUACCGGAUACGAGUGUCCACUGCAUGGUGGAUGCUGGAAAGUUUUUCGGUGAAGGAUGGACUCGCGGCCUAUCAGUUUGUUGGUGAGGUAAUGGCUCACCAAGACGAUGACGGGUAGCCGGCCUGAGAGGGCGACCGGCCACACUGGGACUGAGACACGGCCCAGACUCCUACGGGAGGCAGCAGUGGGGAAUAUUGCACAAUGGGCGAAAGCCUGAUGCAGCGACGCCGCGUGAGGGAUGACGGCCUUCGGGUUGUAAACCUCUUUCAGUAGGGAAGAAGCGAAAGUGACGGUACCUGCAGAAGAAGCGCCGGCUAACUACGUGCCAGCAGCCGCGGUAAUACGUAGGGCGCAAGCGUUGUCCGGAAUUAUUGGGCGUAAAGAGCUUGUAGGUGGCUUGUCGCGUCUGCCGUGAAAAUCCAGGGCUUAACUCUGGACGUGCGGUGGGUACGGGCAGGCUAGAGUGUGGUAGGGGAGACUGGAACUCCUGGUGUAGCGGUGAAAUGCGCAGAUAUCAGGAAGAACACCGAUGGCGAAGGCAGGUCUCUGGGCCAUUACUGACACUGAGAAGCGAAAGCAUGGGGAGCGAACAGGAUUAGAUACCCUGGUAGUCCAUGCCGUAAACGUUGGGCACUAGGUGUGGGCGACAUUCCACGUUGUCUGCGCCGUAGCU